UGAUGAUGAUGAUGAUGAUGACGAUGAUAAGAAUGAUGAUAAUGAUGAGGGUGAGCAUGAAUAUUAUUAUUAUCAUAAUGGUCAUGAUCAUCAUUU
RNAcentral lists this small RNA (96 nucleotides) under Mytilus galloprovincialis (Mediterranean mussel). The record is from RNAcentral. Lineage: Eukaryota; Metazoa; Mollusca; Bivalvia; Mytilida; Mytilidae.